GGGUUGUGAGGUUAAGCGACUAAGCGUACACGGUGGAUGCCCUGGCAGUCAGAGGCGAUGAAGGGCGUGCUAAUCUGCGAUAAGCGCCGGUAAGGUGAUAUGAACCGUUAUAACCGGCGAUACCCGAAUGGGGAAACCCAGUGUGACUCGUCACACUAUCAUUAACUGAAUCCAUAGGUUAAUGAGGCGAACCGGGGGAACUGAAACAUCUAAGUACCCCGAGGAAAAGAAAUCAACCGAGAUUCCCCCAGUAGCGGCGAGCGAACGGGGAGUAGCCCAGAGCCUGAAUCAGCAUGUGUGUUAGUGGAAGCGUCUGGAAAGGCGCGCGAUACAGGGUGACAGCCCCGUACACAAAAGCGCAUGUGCUGUGAGCUCGAUGAGUAGGGCGGGACACGUGGUAUCCUGUCUGAAUAUGGGGGGACCAUCCUCCAAGGCUAAAUACUCCUGACUGACCGAUAGUGAACCAGUACCGUGAGGGAAAGGCGAAAAGAACCCCGGCGAGGGGAGUGAAAAAGAACCUGAAACCGUGUACGUACAAGCAGUGGGAGCACAGGUUUACCUGUGUGACUGCGUACCUUUUGUAUAAUGGGUCAGCGACUUAUAUUCUGUAGCAAGGUUAACCGUAUAGGGGAGCCGUAGGGAAACCGAGUCUUAACCGGGCGUUAAGUUGCAGGGUAUAGACCCGAAACCCGGUGAUCUAGCCAUGGGCAGGUUGAAGGUUGGGUAACACUAACUGGAGGACCGAACCGACUAAUGUUGAAAAAUUAGCGGAUGACCUGUGGCUGGGGGUGAAAGGCCAAUCAAACCGGGAGAUAGCUGGUUCUCCCCGAAAGCUAUUUAGGUAGCGCCUCGUGAAUUCAUCUCCGGGGGUAGAGCACUGUUUCGGCUAGGGGGCCAUCCCGGCUUACCAACCCGAUGCAAACUGCGAAUACCGGAGAAUGUUAUCACGGGAGACACACGGCGGGUGCUAACGUCCGUCGUGAAGAGGGAAACAACCCAGACCGCCAGCUAAGGUCCCAAAGUCAUGGUUAAGUGGGAAACGAUGUGGGAAGGCCCAGACAGCCAGGAUGUUGGCUUAGAAGCAGCCAUCAUUUAAAGAAAGCGUAAUAGCUCACUGGUCGAGUCGGCCUGCGCGGAAGAUGUAACGGGGCUAAACCAUGCACCGAAGCUGCGGCAGCGACGCUGAUGCGUUGUUGGGUAGGGGAGCGUUCUGUAAGCCUGCGAAGGUGGCCUGUGAGGGUUGCUGGAGGUAUCAGAAGUGCGAAUGCUGACAUAAGUAACGAUAAAGCGGGUGAAAAGCCCGCUCGCCGGAAGACCAAGGGUUCCUGUCCAACGUUAAUCGGGGCAGGGUGAGUCGACCCCUAAGGCGAGGCCGAAAGGCGUAGUCGAUGGGAAACGGGUUAAUAUUCCCGUACUUGGUGUUACUGCGAAGGGGGGACGGAGAAGGCUAUGUUGGCCGGGCGACGGUUGUCCCGGUUUAAGCGUGUAGGUGUGUGUUCCAGGUAAAUCCGGUUCACUUUAACACUGAGGCGUGAUGACGAGGCACUACGGUGCUGAAGCAACAAAUGCCCUGCUUCCAGGAAAAGCCUCUAAGCAUCAGGUAACAUCAAAUCGUACCCCAAACCGACACAGGUGGUCAGGUAGAGAAUACCAAGGCGCUUGAGAGAACUCGGGUGAAGGAACUAGGCAAAAUGGUGCCGUAACUUCGGGAGAAGGCACGCUGACACGUAGGUGAAGUGAUUUACUCAUGGAGCUGAAGUCAGUCGAAGAUACCAGCUGGCUGCAACUGUUUAUUAAAAACACAGCACUGUGCAAACACGAAAGUGGACGUAUACGGUGUGACGCCUGCCCGGUGCCGGAAGGUUAAUUGAUGGGGUCAGCGCAAGCGAAGCUCCUGAUCGAAGCCCCGGUAAACGGCGGCCGUAACUAUAACGGUCCUAAGGUAGCGAAAUUCCUUGUCGGGUAAGUUCCGACCUGCACGAAUGGCGUAAUGAUGGCCAGGCUGUCUCCACCCGAGACUCAGUGAAAUUGAACUCGCUGUGAAGAUGCAGUGUACCCGCGGCAAGACGGAAAGACCCCGUGAACCUUUACUAUAGCUUGACACUGAACAUUGAGCCUUGAUGUGUAGGAUAGGUGGGAGGCUUUGAAGUGUGGACGCCAGUCUGCAUGGAGCCGACCUUGAAAUACCACCCUUUAAUGUUUGAUGUUCUAACGUGGACCCGUGAUCCGGGUUGCGGACAGUGUCUGGUGGGUAGUUUGACUGGGGCGGUCUCCUCCUAAAGAGUAACGGAGGAGCACGAAGGUUGGCUAAUCCUGGUCGGACAUCAGGAGGUUAGUGCAAUGGCAUAAGCCAGCUUGACUGCGAGCGUGACGGCGCGAGCAGGUGCGAAAGCAGGUCAUAGUGAUCCGGUGGUUCUGAAUGGAAGGGCCAUCGCUCAACGGAUAAAAGGUACUCCGGGGAUAACAGGCUGAUACCGCCCAAGAGUUCAUAUCGACGGCGGUGUUUGGCACCUCGAUGUCGGCUCAUCACAUCCUGGGGCUGAAGUAGGUCCCAAGGGUAUGGCUGUUCGCCAUUUAAAGUGGUACGCGAGCUGGGUUUAGAACGUCGUGAGACAGUUCGGUCCCUAUCUGCCGUGGGCGCUGGAGAACUGAGGGGGGCUGCUCCUAGUACGAGAGGACCGGAGUGGACGCAUCACUGGUGUUCGGGUUGUCAUGCCAAUGGCACUGCCCGGUAGCUAAAUGCGGAAGAGAUAAGUGCUGAAAGCAUCUAAGCACGAAACUUGCCCCGAGAUGAGUUCUCCCUGAGACUUAAAGUCUCCUGAAGGAACGUUGAAGACGACGACGUUGAUAGGCCGGGUGUGUAAGCGCAGCGAUGCGUUGAGCUAACCGGUACUAAUGAACCGUGAGGCUUAACCUUACAACGCCGAAG
Molecule: ribosomal RNA, 2929 nt
Filed under: Salmonella sp. SSDFZ69
Lineage: Bacteria; Pseudomonadati; Pseudomonadota; Gammaproteobacteria; Enterobacterales; Enterobacteriaceae
Description: 23S ribosomal RNA
Rfam family: Bacterial large subunit ribosomal RNA
Source: RNAcentral